GUGUCAGCAGCCGCGGUAAUACGGAGGGUGCGAGCGUUGUUCGGAAUUACUGGGCGUAAAGCGCGUGCAGGCGGCCGACUAAGUUCGGUGUGAAAGCCCGGGGCUCACCCCCGGAAGUGCGCUGGAAACUGGUCGGCUAGAGUACGGGAGAGGGAAGCGGAAUUCCUGGUGUAGCGGUGAAAUGCGUAGAUAUCAGGAGGAACACCGGCGGCGAAGGCGGCUUCCUGGACCGAUACUGACGCUGAGACGCGAAAGCGUGGGGAGCAAACAGGAUUAGAUACCCUGGUAGUCCACGCUGUAAACGAUGGGUACUAGGUGUCGCGGGUGUUGACCCCUGCGGUGCCGCAGCUAACGCAUUAAGUACCCCGCCUGGGGAUUACGGUCGCAAGAUUAAA
RNAcentral lists this ribosomal RNA (395 nucleotides) under uncultured bacterium. Its description in RNAcentral is "bacterial SSU rRNA". It matches the Rfam family "Bacterial small subunit ribosomal RNA", at positions 505 to 898 of the family's 1533-position model. The record is from RNAcentral.